This 403-nucleotide ribosomal RNA is filed under the name uncultured prokaryote. Its description in RNAcentral is "bacterial SSU rRNA". It matches the Rfam family "Bacterial small subunit ribosomal RNA", at positions 355 to 774 of the family's 1533-position model. The record is from RNAcentral.
UCGAGAAUCUUCCGCAAUGGGCGAAAGCCUGACGGAGCAAUGCCGCGUGCAGGAUGAAGGCCUUCGGGUCAUAAACUGCUGUCACCGGGGAUGAAUAAUGACAGUACCCGGGGAGGAAGUCACGGCUAACUACGUGCCAGCAGCCGCGGUAAUACGUAGGUGACGAGCGUUGUUCGGAAUUAUUGGGCGUAAAGGGUUCGUAUGAUGUUUAUUAAGAUUGGUGUGAAAUCCCAAGGCUUAACCUUGGAACUGCAUUGAUUACUGAUGAACUAGAGUAUCGUAGAGGAAAGCGGAAUUCCAGGUGUAGCGGUGGAAUGCGUAGAUAUCUGGAAGAACACCGACAGCGAAGGCAGCUUUCUGGGCUAUAACUGACUCUGAGGAACGAAAGCAUGGGGAGCAAACG